Molecule: ribosomal RNA, 468 nt
Filed under: uncultured bacterium
Lineage: Bacteria
Description: partial 16S ribosomal RNA
Rfam family: Bacterial small subunit ribosomal RNA
Source: RNAcentral
GACGAACGCUGGCGGCGUGCUUAACACAUGCCAGUCGAACGGAAAGGCCCUGCUUUUGUGGGGUGCUCGAGUGGCGAACGGGUGAGUAACACGUGAGUAACCUGCCCUUGACUUUGGGAUAACUUCAGGAAACUGGGGCUAAUACCGGAUAGGAGCUCCUGCUGCAUGGUGGGGGUUGGAAAGUUUCGGCGGUUGGGGAUGGACUCGCGGCUUAUCAGCUUGUUGGUGGGGUAGUGGCUUACCAAGGCUUUGACGGGUAGCCGGCCUGAGAGGGUGACCGGCAACAUUGGGAGUGAGAUACGGCCCAGACUCCUACGGGAGGCAGGAGUGGGGAAUAUUGCACGAUGGGCGGAAGCCUGAUGCAGCAACGCCGCGUGCGGGAUGACGGCCUUCGGGUUGUAGACCGCUUUCGCCUGUGACGAAGCGUGGGUGACGGUAAUGGGUAAAGAAGCACCGGCUAACUACGUG